Halomonas huangheensis is the source of this 369-nucleotide non-coding RNA. It matches the Rfam family "Bacterial RNase P class A". Rfam says of the family: Ribonuclease P (RNase P) is a ubiquitous endoribonuclease, found in archaea, bacteria and eukarya as well as chloroplasts and mitochondria. Its best characterised activity is the generation of mature 5'-ends of tRNAs by cleaving the 5'-leader elements of precursor-tRNAs. The record is from Rfam. NCBI's taxonomy places the organism in Bacteria, Pseudomonadati, Pseudomonadota, Gammaproteobacteria, Oceanospirillales, Halomonadaceae.
GGAGUUGGCCAGACAGUCGCCGCUGCCAGGGUUCUUUCGGGAGCGCUGGUGGGGGAGGAAAGUCCGGGCUCCAUAGGGCAGAGUGCCAGGUAACGCCUGGGCGGCGUGAGUCGACGGAAAGUGCAGCAGAGAGUAGACCGCCUAAGCAUCCUUCGGGAGGCCGGUAAGGGUGAAAGGGUGCGGUAAGAGCGCACCGCGCGCCUGGCAACAGUGCGUGGCACGGUAAACCCCACUCGGAGCAAGACCAAAUAGGAACCCCAUGGCGUGGCCCGCGCUGGGUUCGGGUAGGUUGCUUGAAGCCAAUGGUGACGUUGGCUCUAGAGGAAUGACUGUCCACGACAGAACCCGGCUUAUCGGCCGACUCCCCCU